RNAcentral lists this transfer RNA (69 nucleotides) under Promicromonospora sukumoe. The record is from Rfam by way of RNAcentral. Lineage: Bacteria; Bacillati; Actinomycetota; Actinomycetes; Micrococcales; Promicromonosporaceae.
CGACGUGUAGUUCAGGGAAGAACACCGGGCUGAUCCCGGAGGGCGCAGGUUCGGAGCCUGCCACGUCGG